UAUAAAAAAGUAUAUUAAAGAAAAGGACUACAUUUACCAGAAUGCACCUGCACCCACUCAUCUGCCCCCACCCUUCAGGUGCGACUGCUCAACCUAUGGGCUUGACGGAAAAUUCAAAUCGCGAACCGUUACUGCCUGGACUACUCCGUCUCUUAUUUGUUUGUUUGCUCAUUAACAGUAAGAGGUCAUGUACACUGUGGUCAACUUUGUGGACGAUGAAGAGGUUUUUGGGUAAAGAUGAUAGAAAUAUAAUGAAGUAACAGUGAAAGCUAAAACAUCAGGCUGAUCCAGACACUGAAGAAAUUGAUGUCACUGCAAUCUGGCCAAAAUGAUACAACAAUAUUGAACUAGCCUACUGUAAUGAAGCUGCAGAACAACACAGAGACUCUGAGGACAUCAACACAGAAAAUGAAGGCUCCAAAGAGAUGUCUGUCCAGAUGAGGGUGCAUCAACGUUACCUUUGCUGACAAGUAUAUGCUUUACAAUGUAAAACCUAACAGUUAACUUAACUCAAACCAUUUAAGGAAAUCGGUUGCCUUAACCCAUUAAGUUUUAAAAAAACAUACAUUUGAGUACUGUGAACUUAAGUCUUGUGCAAUUAUGCACUUAUAUUUAGUUAGUGUGAACUUAAAUAUAAGUGCAUAACUGCAUGUGACUCAAUUUGUUUAAGUUCACAGUACUCAAAUCUAUGUGUUUUAAAACUUAAAUGGUUUAAUGCAACCGGUUUUCUUAAAUGGUUUGGGUUUAGUUAACUUUUAGGUUUUACUGUGAGAAAUUCUUGAAUAAUUCCAAGACAGAGCUCUGCAAUUGAAUCUACACUGCAAAAAAUCACUUUCUAUCUUAGGAUUUUUAUCUUGUUUUUAGUAGAAAAACCAAAAAUUCUUAAAUCAAGAUGUAUUUUCUUGAUGAGCAAAAUUACCUAAGAAAAUGUCUAGUUUUUAGACAAAAAUAUACAAUUUAAGUAAAUUUGUGCCUGAACAAGCAAAAAUAUAUAACAAUGGGGUGAGAAAAUUGUGCUUGAAUUAAGUUUUUAAGAAAAAAGAAAACUUAAGAUUUUUUCUCACACCAUUGGCAGAUAUUUUUGCUUGUUUUAAGCACAAAUUCACUUAAAUUG
Molecule: non-coding RNA, 1114 nt
Organism: Paramisgurnus dabryanus
Lineage: Eukaryota; Metazoa; Chordata; Actinopteri; Cypriniformes; Cobitidae
Source: RefSeq, a predicted model, not a curated record